Molecule: ribosomal RNA, 468 nt
Filed under: uncultured bacterium
Lineage: Bacteria
Description: partial 16S ribosomal RNA
Rfam family: Bacterial small subunit ribosomal RNA
Source: RNAcentral
GACGAACGCUGGCGGCGUGCUUAACACAUGCCAGUCGAACGGAAAGGCCCUGCUUUUGUGGGGUGCUCGAGUGGCGAACGGGUGAGUAACACGUGAGUAACCUGCCCUUGACUUUGGCAUAACUUCAGGAAACUGGGGCUAAUACCGGAUAGGAGCUCCUGCUGCAUGGUGGGGGUUGGAAAGUUUCGGCGGUUGGGGAUGGACUCGCGGCUUAUCAGCUUGUUGGUGGGGUAGUGGCUUACCAAGGCUUUGACGGGUAGCCGGCCUGAGAGGGUGACCGGCCACAUUGGGACUGAGAUACGGCCCAGACUCCUACGGGAGGCAGCAGUGGGGAAUAUUGCACAAUGGGCGGAAGCCUGAUGCAGCAACGCCGCGUGCGGGAUGACGGCCUUCGGGUUGUAAACCGCUUUCGCCUGUGACGAAGCGUGAGUGACGGUAAUGGGUAAAGAAGCACCGGCUAACUACGUG